UACGUAGGGGGCGAGCGUUAUCCGGAAUUAUUGGGCGUAAAGGGCACGCAGGCGGUCCUGCACGUGGAUGGUGACAGCUCCUGGCUUAACUGGGAGAGUGCCUUCCAAACGACAAGACUUGAGAGCGAGAGAGGGAUACGGAACUCCAGGUGGAGCAGUGAAAUGCGUAGAGAUCUGGAAGAACACCAAAGGCGAAGGCAGUAUCCUGGCUCGUCUCUGACGCUCAGGUGCGAAAGCUAGGGGAGCAAACAGG
RNAcentral lists this ribosomal RNA (253 nucleotides) under uncultured bacterium. Its description in RNAcentral is "partial 16S ribosomal RNA". It matches the Rfam family "Bacterial small subunit ribosomal RNA", at positions 524 to 776 of the family's 1533-position model. The record is from RNAcentral.